Molecule: ribosomal RNA, 410 nt
Filed under: uncultured Pseudonocardia sp.
Lineage: Bacteria; Bacillati; Actinomycetota; Actinomycetes; Pseudonocardiales; Pseudonocardiaceae
Description: bacterial SSU rRNA
Rfam family: Bacterial small subunit ribosomal RNA
Source: RNAcentral
UGGGGAAUAUUGCGCAAUGGGCGGAAGCCUGACGCAGCGACGCCGCGUGGGGGAUGACGGCCUUCGGGUUGUAAACCUCUUUCGACCUUGACGAAGCCUUCGGGUGACGGUAGGGGUAGAAGAAGCACCGGCCAACUACGUGCCAGCAGCCGCGGUAAUACGUAGGGUGCGAGCGUUGUCCGGAAUUAUUGGGCGUAAAGAGCUCGUAGGCGGUCUGUCGCGUCGGUCGUGAAAACUUGGGGCUUAACCCUGAGCUUGCGGUCGAUACGGGCAUGACUGGAGUUCGGCAGGGGAGACUGGAAUUCCUGGUGUAGCGGUGAAAUGCGCAGAUAUCAGGAGGAACACCGGUGGCGAAGGCGGGUCUCUGGGCCGAUACUGACGCUGAGGAGCGAAAGCGUGGGGAGCGAACA